UCGGGAAUUUUGGGCAAUGGGCGAAAGCCUGACCCAGCAACGCCGCGUGAGGGAUGAAGUAUUUCGGUAUGUAAACCUCGAAAGAAUGGGAAGAAUAAAUGACGGUACCAUUUAUAAGCUCCGGCUAACUACGUGCCAGCAGCCGCGGUAAUACGCAGGGAGCAAGCGUUGUUCGGAUUUACUGGGCGUAAAGGGCGCGUAGGCGGCGCGGUAAGUCACUUGUGAAAUCUCUGAGCUUAACUCAGAACGGCCAAGUGAUACUGCUGUGCUAGAGUGCGGAAGAGGCAACCGGAAUUCUUGGCGUGCGGUGAAAUGCGUAGAUAUCAAGAGGAACACCUGAGGCGAAGGCGGGUUGCUGGGCCGACACUGACGCUGAUGCGCGAAAGCCAGGGGAGCAAACG
RNAcentral lists this ribosomal RNA (401 nucleotides) under uncultured bacterium. RNAcentral's name for it is "bacterial SSU rRNA". It matches the Rfam family "Bacterial small subunit ribosomal RNA", at positions 355 to 774 of the family's 1533-position model. The record is from RNAcentral.